RNAcentral lists this ribosomal RNA (457 nucleotides) under Botryotinia sp. FBCC2326. RNAcentral's name for it is "eukaryotic LSU rRNA". The stretch from base 165 to 318 matches the Rfam family "5.8S ribosomal RNA". Lineage: Eukaryota; Fungi; Ascomycota; Leotiomycetes; Helotiales; Sclerotiniaceae. The record is from RNAcentral.
CUGCGGAAGGAUCAUUACAGAGUUCAUGCCCGAAAGGGUAGACCUCCCACCCUUGUGUAUUAUUACUUUGUUGCUUUGGCGAGCUGCCUUCGGGCCUUGUAUGCUCGCCAGAGAAUACCAAAACUCUUUUUAUUAAUGUCGUCUGAGUACUAUAUAAUAGUUAAAACUUUCAACAACGGAUCUCUUGGUUCUGGCAUCGAUGAAGAACGCAGCGAAAUGCGAUAAGUAAUGUGAAUUGCAGAAUUCAGUGAAUCAUCGAAUCUUUGAACGCACAUUGCGCCCCUUGGUAUUCCGGGGGGCAUGCCUGUUCGAGCGUCAUUUCAACCCUCAAGCUUAGCUUGGUAUUGAGUCUAUGUCAGUAAUGGCAGGCUCUAAAAUCAGUGGCGGCGCCGCUGGGUCCUGAACGUAGUAAUAUCUCUCGUUACAGGUUCUCGGUGUGCUUCUGCCAAAACCCAAA